Molecule: long non-coding RNA, 3287 nt
Organism: Cyprinus carpio carpio
Lineage: Eukaryota; Metazoa; Chordata; Actinopteri; Cypriniformes; Cyprinidae
Source: Ensembl
AUGAAAAAAAUAUAUUUUUUUGUGUUCUGCAGAAGAAAGAAACAUCAGCUUGGCCCAACUGAAAGACAAUCUGACAACCAGACUGGUUUAAGUGGCUUUUUGCAGCAGGGAAAAGAACAAUUUAACAAAAUAUUAAAUUCCAGCAACCCCUGGGAGUUUGGACCCUGGCACAGGCUCAUGGAGAUGCUGGUUGAGGGGGCUUGGCAGAACAGCAAGGUCAGCAGAUCUGUCGUGCCGCAGUGGCUCGGAGGACUCAGCCCAUUCCCACCUCUGGCCAGUAAUCCGCCCCAGCAUCCGCCACAGUCCAACCAGACACAUCCGCAGCUGUGCCAAACUAUUCUAACAUAUCCAGCAAGUGAGAAAUGCAAUGCAUUCAGUUUUAAUGCAUUCAGUUUUAAUGCAUUAAGUUCCUCUUUUAAGGAAUGAAAGCAAAAUAAAAUAUAGCAAAGAUGUUUUAUUGAUGUCUUCCCUUGGUCUUUUGAAUAGCAUUCCUAUCGACUGUGUAUAUCACUAGGUAAUGUUUGUUGAGCUUCAAUGAUAAUUUAGUUAGAUCAAAAAACUGUGAAUAACUUUACUUUUGACUAAAUUCCCAUCUGUGGAUUUCUUUAUAGAGCUGUUCUGAAGGAGCUGUUCUUUUGCCAUCAUUUACUGAUAUUCUUGCAAGUUUCUAACUUUCAAACCAGACUUUAGAUAUUGCACAGAACAGAUUGAAGCAGCAAGGUCAGUUGAGGUAAAUGUGUUGACUUCAGAGUGCACAACCCCCCCACCCCACCCCAAAAAAUAAAAUAAAUAAAUGCAUCAAGGAGGUUAAUAUGUACUGGAUUCCAUAGUUUUCUUAAAAGAAAAGGCAUUUUCUUUAUUAACAUUGUGAUUAAAAUUUAAAUGUUUCAUUGAUGCUUACUUGUUCACGCCCCUUGUACAUAUACACCAAAAUGUACAGUUCACCCAAAAAAGAAAAUUCUGUCAUCAUUUACCUCAUCCUUAGUCUUCUGCUGAACACAGAAGAUAAUUUGGAGAAUGAUGGUAACCAAACAGUUUCUUCAAAACUAUGGAACUCAGUGGGGGCCAGCAACUGUUUGGUUACCCACAUUCUUCAGAUAUCCUAUUUAAUGUUAAACAGAAGGAGACAAAAUUCCAUAAAAAAGGCACACAAUGACAUUGCUGAAGAUCACAUGAAAGACAUAUGAAGAAUACAAUGGAAUUAAAUUAUGUUAUUGAGAAAUUUGACCCCCUUUACGGAUUGUGGGAUUAACUUUAUUAAAUUAAUUUAAUGGAAUUAAACAUACUUAAUCUAAUUAUUUAAUGCAUUAUCUUUGGCAGCCCUAUUUUAAAGUCAAAUCAAUAAAAUACACAGAUGUAUACAGACAAGCAGCUGAAAUGAAAACAGAAAAUAUACUGCAUAUAAGCUUUCCACAUGCUAUUCUCUAUUGUCUUUUUCCCCAUAUAUUACUUUUCUACUUAAUUCCGUCUCCUUAAAUAAAUAGAAUCUAUUCCCUUAUCUGGGCACAAGGUUGUCUGCCAUGCAUGGCAUGGUGGUCUCUGUUGAAAACCUCAUUCUGUUGUAGAGUUCUUUUGGGAAUAUUGUUUUUUCUUUUGUUUUUUGUUUUUUAGGAAAGAGGGCACAGAAGCAUUUCUCUUGUCCCCUUUGUCUUGUCUGGAAGGUUUGCAGAUAAAUAGAUGGAAGGAAGUAACAAAAAUAAUAGUUGACUUCUCUUUGAUUGAGUUCAUAUGUGGCAUAUUUACACUGAGGUAAGACCUGAAUGAGACGGAUGUUAAAAUGGGCGAAUGCUGAGUCACGCUGACAGACUCUGGCAGCCAUGAUCUCCUCAUUGAUUAUCUGUACAGCAUGCUGUGGCAGGAGGCCAGAAAGACCAGCAAACAGAAGGACACAGGAAGGAAGAGAGAGCGUUUUAUCUCAUUUACUGGAAGCAGGCUGGCUCUCUGUGAAGACACCAAUAUCAGUCGGGUUUACCUACCACUCAUAUCUCAUAAAAUGCAAAUGCCGUUCCUCUGAGCCGUGAACCUUAAUUAGAGCAGAAUUACACAAAUGAAAUAUUGUUUUAUGUAUUACGCCGUGAAAUUGGGUUUAAUUAUGUCAUCAGUGCUGAAGCUCGCUAUGCAUUGUCCACAUAUGCAUAUAAAUGAUUGGGGAUAUUGGUUUGACAGCUGUCCACUCCCUUUGCAAGCGGGCAGAAGUCUUUGAAGAGGUCUCUGAUCUUACUCAGCUCCUCAGAAUAUGGAAUAAUCCUGCAUUGUCUGCAAGGUCCCAGUCUGCAUCUUUAGUAUGUUGCAUGUCAUAAACAUAGGGUGGGCUACAGCUUCACACUUCGUUUCAAAACACAUGGUGGGGGGUGGGGGGUGUUGGGUCGAUUAAACACAAACGCAUACACGCUGUGUGCUGAAUUGUUUUUUUCUCUGGACGAUCCUAGUUCAUGCUCUCCUCUACCCCAGGCGAGUAGAUGUGAUUGGAUAUCCUUAAUCAUGCUGCCUCUAAAUUGGUUUUGGAGAAAGCGAUAACUUCUAAGUAUGCAGUAGCCCCACUGGGUUGCAAAGAUAUGCAGCAUUGGCAUACCCAUCUAUUUUUUUUUUUAACAAUUGUUAUUUUUAUGGGAUUUUCUGCAUUAAAUUACACAGGAGAACCAGGAAGUGAAAUGAACAGGAAAUGAUUCAAACAUCAGAGCAUGUCUGCUGCCCACCUGGAUACUAAAAUUAAUCUAGACUUUAAGGGUGCAGGGAAUUUGUGGGUUGCGUGAUGUUAUUUCUGGUAUUCAUGCAAAUGUGAUUAUAAUCAAGGAAAAUCUCAGUCAUCAACACUGUACAUACUAAAUGUAUGAACUUCACUGGUGAUGAGAAUAUACAUAAAGCAAUUUUGAAUAUUAAAAAGAGAUACUAUGGUAAUAUGACAUGCAUGUAAAUGUGUAGCUAACAUGUAGCUAAAUUCAUUAUCUGAAAAUUCAUAAUACACUUCAAAACUAAAAACUACAGCCUUGCAUUUGCAUUCCUCACCCAUUUGACUAAACAAGUUGAAACAGAAAUAUCAAAACCUUACUGUUCCAUAGUGCAAUGAGUUGUGGGGAGUAUUAGCUCAUAGAAUGAUUUGGGACACAUUGACACAUAAUAUAUAGGACAAAUAAUAUGCAAAUUAGAAUGCAGCACUAGUAUCAGCCUCCCACAGUGAUGCUCAUUGAUUUAAACUGUCGGAAUUGACCUUUUGCUAUCCCUCCUUGGUUGCUGUAACUUGCCUAGACAAGCCUCACAGAGUGUUCUGUAACUGAACAGACACUAUU